UACAGAGGGUGCGAGCGUUGUCCGGAAUUACUGGGCGUAAAGGGCGCGUAGGCGGCCCCAGUACGCGUGCCGUGAAAGCCCGGGGCUCAACCCCGGGUCGGCGGUGCGAACGGGGGGGCUGGAGCCCACCAGAGGCAGGCGGAAUUCCGGGUGUAGCGGUGGAAUGCGUAGAGAUCCGGAAGAACACCGGUGGCGAAGGCGGCCUGCUGGGGUGGAGCUGACGCUGAGGCGCGACAGCGUGGGGAGCAAACAGG
RNAcentral lists this ribosomal RNA (254 nucleotides) under uncultured bacterium. RNAcentral's name for it is "partial 16S ribosomal RNA". It matches the Rfam family "Bacterial small subunit ribosomal RNA", at positions 524 to 776 of the family's 1533-position model. The record is from RNAcentral.